AUAUAUAUACUGCUCCUUUCCGCAAAGAUUACACUUAAUCGGUCUUACACAACCCUAACACACUUGUUAGUUUGUUCCUGGCCAACUUCUAACUCAUGACCACAGAUUGUCCCCGAUCACUCUACAAAAUUACCGUGCAUAACGGUCUUCUCUGACAACUACGGUCUCUUUAGAAAUACCACCAACAGACCCUCUCCUCAUAAACUGAGAAGACAUUGCAUUCUUGUUUAUUCCAAAAGUCUGAUGUCUCCAUAAGAAGGUUCAGGCCACCUUGCUUACCAAG
Long non-coding RNA from Arabidopsis thaliana (thale cress), 283 nucleotides. RefSeq annotates it as other RNA. The transcript has a single exon. Lineage: Eukaryota; Viridiplantae; Streptophyta; Magnoliopsida; Brassicales; Brassicaceae. The record is from RefSeq.